GAGUUUGAUCCUGGCUCAGGACGAACGCUGGCGGCGCGCCUAACACAUGCAAGUCGAACGAGAGAGAGGGAGCUUGCUUCCUCAAUCGAGUGGCGAACGGGUGAGUAACGCGUGAGGAACCUGCCUCAAAGAGGGGGACAACAGUUGGAAACGACUGCUAAUACCGCAUAAGCCCACGGCUCGGCAUCGAGCAGAGGGAAAAGGAGCAAUCCGCUUUGAGAUGGCCUCGCGUCCGAUUAGCUAGUUGGUGAGGUAAUGGCCCACCAAGGCGACGAUCGGUAGCCGGACUGAGAGGUUGAACGGCCACAUUGGGACUGAGACACGGCCCAGACUCCUACGGGAGGCAGCAGUGGGGAAUAUUGCACAAUGGGGGAAACCCUGAUGCAGCGACGCCGCGUGGAGGAAGAAGGUCUUCGGAUUGUAAACUCCUGUUGUUGAGGAAGAUAAUGACGGUACUCAACAAGGAAGUGACGGCUAACUACGUGCCAGCAGCCGCGGUAAAACGUAGGUCACAAGCGUUGUCCGGAAUUACUGGGUGUAAAGGGAGCGCAGGCGGGAAGACAAGUUGGAAGUGAAAUCUAUGGGCUCAACCCAUAAACUGCUUUCAAAACUGUUUUUCUUGAGUAGUGCAGAGGUAGGCGGAAUUCCCGGUGUAGCGGUGGAAUGCGUAGAUAUCGGGAGGAACACCAGUGGCGAAGGCGGCCUACUGGGCACCAACUGACGCUGAGGCUCGAAAGUGUGGGUAGCAACAGGAUUAGAUACCCUGGUAGUUCACACCGUAAACGAUGAUUACUAGGUGUUGGAGGAUUGACCCCUUCAGUGCCGCAGUUAACACAAUAAGUAAUCCACCUGGGGAGUACGACCGCAAGGUUGAAACUCAAAGGAAUUGACGGGGGCCCGCACAAGCAGUGGAGUAUGUGGUUUAAUUCGACGCAACGCGAAGAACCUUACCAAGUCUUGACAUCCCUUGACGAACAUAGAAAUAUGUUUUCUCUUCGGAGCAAGGAGACAGGUGGUGCAUGGUUGUCGUCAGCUCGUGUCGAGAGAUGUUGGGUUAAGUCCCGCAACGAGCGCAACCCUUACUGUCAGUUACUACGCAAGAGGACUCUGGCAGGACUGCCGUUGACAAAACGGAGGAAGGUGGGGAUGACGUCAAAUCAUCAUGCCCUUUAUGACUUGGGCUACACACGUACUACAAUGGCGUUAAACAAAGAGAAGCAAGACCGCGAGGUGGAGCAAAACUCAGAAACAACGUCCCAGUUCGGACUGCAGGCUGCAACUCGCCUGCACGAAGUCGGAAUUGCUAGUAAUCGUGGAUCAGCAUGCCACGGUGAAUACGUUCCCGGGCCUUGUACACACCGCCCGUC
Molecule: ribosomal RNA, 1367 nt
Filed under: uncultured bacterium
Lineage: Bacteria
Description: bacterial SSU rRNA
Rfam family: Bacterial small subunit ribosomal RNA
Source: RNAcentral